GACGAACGCUGGCGGCGUGCUUAACACAUGCAAGUCGAACGGAAAGGCCCUGCUUUUGUGGGGUGCUCGAGUGGCGAACGGGUGAGUAACACGUGAGUAACCUGCCCUUGACUUUGGGAUAACUUCAGGAAACUGGGGCUAAUACCGGAUAGGAGCUCCUGCUGCAUGGUGGGGGUUGGUAAGUUUCGGCGGUUCGGGAUGGACUCGCGGCUUAUCAGCUUGUUGGUGGGGUAGUGGCUUACCAAGGCUUUGACGGGUAGCCGGCCUGAGAGGGUGACCGGCCACAUGGGGACUGAGAGACGGCCCAGUAGCCUACGGGAGGCAGCAGUGGGGAAUAUUGCACAAUGGGCGGAAGCCUGAUGCAGCAACGCCGCGUGCGGGAUGACGGCCUUCGGGUUGUAAACCGCUUUCGCCUGUGACGAAGCGUGAGUGACGGUAAUGGGUAAAGAAGCACCGGCUAACUACGUG
RNAcentral lists this ribosomal RNA (468 nucleotides) under uncultured bacterium. RNAcentral describes it as "partial 16S ribosomal RNA". It matches the Rfam family "Bacterial small subunit ribosomal RNA", at positions 28 to 507 of the family's 1533-position model. The record is from RNAcentral.